CGGGGGGCUGCAGCAGUGGGGAAUAUUGGACAAUGGGGGAGACCCUGAUCCAGCAAUGCCGCGUGUGUGAAGAAGGCCUGCGGGUUGUAAAGCACUUUCGGUUGGGAGGACUGCUUCUAGCACUAAUAUUGUUGGAAGUUGACGUUACCUUCAGAAGAAGCACCGGCUAACUCCGUGCCAGCAGCCGCGGUAAUACGGAGGGUGCAGGCGUUAAGCGGAAUUACUGGGCGUAAAGCGCGCGUAGGCGGCUAGAUCAGUCGGGUGUGAAAGCCCCGGGCUUAACCUGGGAACUGCAUCCGAUACUGUCUAGCUUGAGUACAGGAGAGGAGAGUGGAAUUCCACAUGUAGCGGUGACAUGCGUAGAUAUGUGGAGGAACACCAAUGGCGAAGGCAGCUCUCUGGCCUGAUACUGACGCUGAGGUGCGAAAGCGUGGGGAGCAAACAGGAUUAGAUACCCCCGUAGUC
RNAcentral lists this ribosomal RNA (465 nucleotides) under uncultured bacterium. RNAcentral describes it as "partial 16S ribosomal RNA". It matches the Rfam family "Bacterial small subunit ribosomal RNA", at positions 339 to 795 of the family's 1533-position model. The record is from RNAcentral.